Molecule: ribosomal RNA, 498 nt
Filed under: uncultured soil bacterium
Lineage: Bacteria
Description: bacterial SSU rRNA
Rfam family: Bacterial small subunit ribosomal RNA
Source: RNAcentral
AGAUUGAACGCUGGCGGCAGGCCUAACACAUGCAAGUCGAGCGGUAGAGAGGUGCUCGCAUCUCUUGAGAGCGGCGGACGGGUGAGUAAUGCCUAGGAAUCUGCCUAGUGGUGGGGGAUAACGUUCGGAAACGGACGCUAAUACCGCGUACGUCCUACGGGAGAAAGCGGGGGACCUUCGGGCCUCGCGCCAUUAGAUGAGCCUAGGUCGGAUUAGCUAGUUGGUGAGGUAAUGGCUCACCAAGGCGACGAUCCGUAACUGGUCUGAGAGGAUGAUCAGUCACACUGGAACUGAGACACGGUCCAGACUCCUACGGGAGGCAGCAGUGGGGAAUAUUGGACAAUGGGCGAAAGCCUGAUCCAGCCAUGCCGCGUGUGUGAAGAAGGUCUUCGGAUUGUAAAGCACUUUAAGUUGGAGGAAGGUUGUAACUUAAGUACGUUGCUAAUUUGACGUUACCGACAGAAUAAGCACCGGCUAACUCGCGCAGCAGCCGCGUAA